UGUCUAAUGGGAGCUUUAAGAGAGUCACCCUGUAUGAUGCCGAGUGGCGAUGGAGAUCACCUUGGAGACACCUAAGCCUGGAUCAGACGGACCGCUAAUCCGCCGAUAUGUUGAGGCUGCACGCCAGACUUGGCCACUAUCAGGCCCCUGAAAGUGUAUACAAAUUAUGUGUUCACUGGGAGGGGUGGGGCAAAGGGGGGAAAUGGCUAAAAUAGUUCGUGUGCUCCAGCUUAGAGGUCGCGUCAGUUGCAAAGAAAUCUGUAAAGUUAAAGGAAUCUGUCACACAUUUUGCUAAAAGUAAAGAAGGUUCACUUAAAAAUAAUCGACGUGCGCACACUUCUCUUUUUAAUUCUUUGAUUUAUCAACAGUCGAUUAUUUUGCUGUCGUUGCGGUUUUUGGCGACAUUUUGUUUUAAUGUGUUUUAAAGACUUCAGAAAACGAUUUAACGUGAUUUUUUGGAUGUUUUUGUGAUCAAACAUCUCUACUUUUAUAUGGAUCUUUUAUUUGAAUCUAGUGUAUAGUGUGAAUGACAAUGUUUUAAUGAAGGAUGAAUCAACUUAAGGCAAAUUAAGAUAUUAAUAUAAUCAUAUUACACCAAGAAGGAUCACACAAACUUAGGAGAUGAAGACCGUCCUUGGAGAUGAUAACGGUUCUUGGGAUGUAAUUGAAAAUCCCAUGAAGACGAGUUAAAUAUAAUGUGCAGUAAUUAAUAGGUAUAUCAUAAUAAUAAAUAAAUUUAUUGUAGUUGCGAAGCUAGUAUUUUGUGAAAGCAGGGAGUUUAGGACUUGCUAUGGUUCAAGGUUUUCAAAUUCGCCAUGUCCCUCUAUGUCUUAAUCUUUUAUGUUGUUUUACACAAUGUUAUAACGCCUAUGCCUGUUAAAAAAACAAGGUUUGUCCUUUUUGUGAUUGCUUAAUUUAGAAACUAAGCGAAAAAACGUAUUCUACAA
Tribolium castaneum (red flour beetle) is the source of this 947-nucleotide long non-coding RNA. RefSeq lists it as uncharacterized. NCBI's taxonomy places the organism in Eukaryota, Metazoa, Arthropoda, Insecta, Coleoptera, Tenebrionidae. The record is from RefSeq and is a predicted model, not a curated record. The transcript has 2 exons.